UCAUCUUGAAAGCUGCUAUUUUUAUUCAAACGAAACUCAAACGACGUCACUUAAAGAGAUACAACAUAAUACCCAAGCAUUUAACUUAAAGACUAGCUAACAUUGAUUAAAAUUCAACCGUACAGUAGACGCAUAACAACACUCUCUCUCAAUCUUUUUAAACAUGAAACAAUCAAGAUAGUAACCAGAGCAUCAAAUCAUCUUCAUUUGGGGCAAGACGGGUUAAAGGCAAAUGGACCAACGUUAAAGAGACCGUAUACGAGCUUGUUGACGACCACCGUAGAUUUUCCCAGCUUUUUCUCAGGCUUAAGUUCAGCGCCGACAUCUCCACCGAAGAGCUUUGAGACUUUGCUGCAUUUGUAGUCCUUUGAUUUCACCAAAUACACACGACAUCCUCUGAAACCGAAGUUCGUCACCGUCUUAGGAGCCAACAACAAGAAGUAUCCGUUCUUGUCUGUCGUCGUCUCCGCUGUUAUGUUCUUCUUGCUCUUACACACUAGUUUCACCGUAGCACCUGCACAAACCCAUAAAAAAAUAUUAGUCCGAUAUGUUUAUAGAAUAAAAGGAUAUAGUUAUGUGUUUUUAAUUAUUUUUGUGGGAAGUAGUGAAAUUUAUUGGCCAGACUGUAAAAAACAGUGACUGAUGAGUGCAGAAGUGUACAUAGUCACUCUCUUUAUUUCACACCUAUUUUCGAAACAUUGACUACUUACGUAACAAAGGUCCCACUUGUAACGUUUUCAAAUUUGAAUUAUUUUCUGAAAUAUGCGUCAUGAUUAAGAUAUGAAGUACGUAUUAUUUUAUAGAUAUAUACACUGUUUGAAUGCGUAUGCAGAGCCAAGUUGAGUUGUUUGAGAGAUUGUUACUGAGGUAUGUCUCAUGUAUGAGUGAAUAAACUGAAUAAUGAAGUGGAAGAAAUAGUAGUAA
This 924-nucleotide small RNA is filed under the name Arabidopsis thaliana (thale cress). Its description in RNAcentral is "ATSL020370". Lineage: Eukaryota; Viridiplantae; Streptophyta; Magnoliopsida; Brassicales; Brassicaceae. The record is from RNAcentral.